Molecule: small RNA, 284 nt
Filed under: Pseudomonas sp. FeS53a
Lineage: Bacteria; Pseudomonadati; Pseudomonadota; Gammaproteobacteria; Pseudomonadales; Pseudomonadaceae
Description: 5' ureB small RNA
Rfam family: 5' ureB small RNA
Source: Rfam by way of RNAcentral
CCUCUUCGAUCUGCUGCGGGCAGAUGAAGUGGAUGUGGGUGUCGAUGCCGCCGGCGGUGAGGAUCAUGCCCUCGCCGGCGAUCACCUCGGUGCUGGCGCCGAUGGCGAUGGUGACGUCGGGCUGGAUGUCCGGGUUGCCGGCCUUGCCGAUGGCGGCGAUGCGCCCGUCCUUGAGGCCCACGUCGGCCUUGACGAUGCCCCAGUGGUCGAUGAUCAGCGCGUUGGUGAUCAGCGUGUCGACCACCUCGGCGGCCAGCAGCUGGCCCUGGCCCAUGCCGUCGCGG